CUUGCACUGGCCUAUUUGUAUGUGUGUGUGUGGUAAAUAUACCUAAAAUGUAUAUUUUUUUGAGACAGGGUCUCACUCUGUUGCCAAGGCUGGAGUACAGUGGAACCAUCUUGGCUCACUGCAGCCUCCACCUCCAGGACUCAAACCAUCCUCCCACCUCAGCCUCUGAAGUAGCUGAGACUACAGGCUAGAGUGAAAUGGCACGAUCUUGGCUCACUGCAACCUCUGCCUCCUGGAUUCAAGCAAUUCUCCUGCCUCAGCCUCCAGAGUAGCUGGAAUUACAGGUGCCCACCACCACGCCCGGCCGAUUUUUGUAUUUUUAUUAGAGACGGGGUUUCACCAUGUUGGCCAGCAUGGUCUCGAACUCCUACCUGCCUCGGCCUCCCAAAGUGCUGGGAUUACAGGCAUGAGUUAUUGUGCCUGGACCCAGGCUGGUUUUGAACUCCUAAGCUCAAGCUACCCGCCUGCCUCAGCCUCCCAAAGUGCAGGGAUUAUAGGCACAAGCCACCACACCCAGCCUAAAAUGUAGCAUCUUAACCAUUUUUAAGUGUGCAGUUGAGUGGCAUUAAGUACAUUCACAUUGUUGUGCAGCCAUCACCACCACCCAUCCACAGAACUUUUUCACACUCUCUAGCUGAAACUCUGCGCCCAUUAAACACUCACUUCCUGUUCCCCUCUCCUCUCAGGCCCUGGCAACCACCAUUUUACUUUCUAUCACUACAAAUUUGACUACUCUAGGGACCUCAUGUAAGUGGAAUCAUACAGGAUGUGUCCUUUUGUGUCUGGCUUAUCUCAUUUAUCACAAUGUUCAUAACGUUCAUCCGUGUAGUAGCACGUGUCAGAAUCUCCUUGCUUUUUCAGGCUGAAUAAUAUUCCAUUGUAUGUAUAUACCACAUUUUGUUUAUCCACUCAUUGGUCUAUUUUUUUUUUUCCAGAUGGAGUCUUGCUGUGUCUCCCAGGCUGGAGUGCAGUGGCACAAUCUUGGCUCACUGCAACCGCCGCCUCUUCGGUUCAAGAAUUCUCCUGCCUUAGCCUCCUGAGUAGCUGAGAUUACAGGUGUGUGCUACCAUGGCCGGCUAAUUUUUGUAUUUUUAGUAGAGACAGGGUUUCAUCAUGUUGGCUAGGCUGGUCUCGAACUCCUGACCUCAGGUGAUCCAUCCACCUCGGCCUCCCAAAGUGCUGGGAUUAUGAUCUAUUUUUUAAAAGGAUUUUUGGAUAGGAAAUUAGCACAUAGAGCUUUAAAACCCAUCCACUACAGAAAAGGAUAGGGUGCCUCUUGUCUCCUGGUGGCCCGACGGCAGGGCAUCCUUUGGGCCUCUCUCCCCUGCCCUCUGCCUGUCCACAGUCCUCUGUCUUUCCCUCAGCAGUGUCCUUCCUGUUGGUCUUCCUCUCUGUUCCCACUGCCCACCUCUGGUUUCUGUUCCAAUACCUUUUCAUCCUCAGGCAUUCCUGCCCAGACUCUGCCUCCUGGAAGCUGGCCUACAAGUGCUGCCAGGGAAGCUGUCUAAGGUUCAGCCCCUGCCCUACCAGCCCUUAGCCUCUGAGGCUGCCCUCCAGCUUGUCCCAGCUGACCAUGACUGAUGUGUGUCCCCCUGUACCGGAUGGACUUCCUUGCCAAACUGCUUGGAGAGCCCUUCUUUCUCCCAAGAGUCAGCAUAAGUCCUCCUUCCUUAGAAAGGGCCCUGAACUCUUCCUGCCAGCCCUACCUGAAUUUCUCUCUGUCCUUUGUGCUCCUACGACAGUGACCCUAUUCUGACUCGUGCUCUGUAGCCACUUGGCUACUUUCCGAUCUCUUCUAAGAUAAGUAAACUCCUGGAAGGAAAAAACAAGGCCCAUUUACCUUUGAGUGUCCCCAGGGCUAGCCAGUGCCCCGCAUAGAGGAAGCCACAGUCAGCAAGUGUGGAAUCUGGAAAGCUCUCGGAGGAAUCUUUGCCAGGCCCAGGUGCAGAGACUGGACUGGGGGUUGUUAUUUAGCUUAUCGGAGCCUCCAUUUCCUCAGACUGGGAAAAUGGUUUUUCCUCACAGGCUGGCAGAGAGAAUGCAACCAGUGUAAAUUAAAGACAGGAUUUGAUAAAUGUGGGUCCCCCUAGGUGGGAGCAGGACUGGCUGUUAGGUGUCAAGGGCCUGUGAAACAAUCCCCUCCCCAGGGCAAGUGGCUGGUGCAGUGCUGGUCCAGAUCAUUGAAGGCAGGGAAGCCUGGCUUGGGAGAGGGAGGUCAAUCCUCCAGCAGGAAAGGAGAGGGGUGUGAGUGCUUCCGUGGUGUCCCGUCCACAGAUGCUCAAGGCCCCUGUGCAAUUGGGCUUAGGAACAGGGUCACCUGCAGAGGUCUGCACUGAAGGAGCAGCAAGCCAAGUUUCAUCCUUGCUUCCCAGCCCCAGCUGUUCCUCUUCCCUCUGUCCCAGCCAUUUCCUUGGGCUCUUCCUAUGGGCCGAGGGCAGGAGGCAGCAGCAGCCACACCAAGGGAGGCUUGACACUGAACACGAGUGCGUGUGCAUUUAGCCCUUGAGUGCCAGUGCCAUAAUGUGGCCUCGGCCCUGGGGGCACAGAUUCAAUAUCUCAAUGUGGAAAGGUUCUUCUGAUGUGCCCUCUUAACAGGACAACCAGAGAGGCCUCAGUUCCAACUGGAAGGCCAUUCCUUUACCCUUUCACCCAUCCAUUAACAAAUGUUUAUUAAGCAUCUAGAUGGGUCAGGCCCUGUUCUAUGGGGCACAGUCUGCUUCUAAACAGACUAACAAGCAGUCCUGCUGUUAGCCCCAUCCUGCCCUCCCCUGUGCCUGUUCCUUCCCAUUGGACUCCUCGACCUCCAGGCCCUGCAGCAGCCAUAAGGAACAGCUUUCUCUUCCCUGCCACUCCCCCACCACAGACAGGGUCUUGCUCUAUUGCCCAGGCUGGAGUGCAGUGGCACGAUCUCGGCUCACUACAUCCUCCACCUCCCAGCUUCAAGCAAUUCUCCUGCCUCAGCCUCCCAAGUAGUUGGGAUUACAAGUGCAUGCCACAACACCCAGCUAAUUUUUGUUAUUUUUAGUAGAGAUGGGGUUUCACCAUGUUGGCUGGGCUGGUCUUGAACUCCUGACCUUGUGAUCCACCCGCCUCGGCCUCCCAAAGUGCUGGGAUUACAGGCGUGAGCCACAGCUCCUGGCCAGCGGCGGCUUUCUCUGUGUAGUGCUAGUUCUCUGUCCCUUGCUUUUUGGCUUCCUCUACUUUGUGGACAUCUCCAAGCUAUUGUCAUCUUCUUUCUCCUGUUUAUUUGUCUUUUGGAUUUAUGCCUGCUUUAAUACUUUUGUUAACAUUAGUGAUGUUUCAAGUAGGAAGAAGAAAUAAAUUCUGAUGUUCCAUCUGCCAUAUUUAACUAGAAUUUCCUUCCAAUUGAGUUUUCACUUAAAGUAUUUUAACAAUGAUUUAUGGAGUUUGGAUGUUUUCAAUUUGAAAAUGGUAGUUGUUUAUUUUAGAAAUUUACAAAUAAUAUACAAGUAUAAAGAAGAAUAUAAAGAUGACUCAUCAUCUCAGAAAUUCAGAAAUAACCCCUCUUAACAUUUUGAGGGAGAUAUAUAUGUACACCCCCAUAUAGAUACACAUUAGUUGAAGGGAAUUAAAUAAUCUCUUUCUGUUUGCUUAAGUUUGAUGCUGACAUUUGGAUGCUGCCAGCUUUGUAGAAGCCUUUUGCUGUGGGAGGCACUUGCCAAGCCUUGCUGCGACACAGGAGUAUCCCUUGUCAUGCUGACAUUGGUGCCUCUCACCUUCCCUCAGGCCUGCCUCUCUCCCCUAGUGAGCCUCGGCCUAGACUGCCCACUUCCACUGGAGAUGUUCAUCAUCACGUCAUCUACGGAUCAAAACCACAGUUCUUACCUGCAGUGCCUGAAGGAGGUUAAGAAACAGAAUCGGGUGUGCCCUCCCCAACUCUGUCAUCCCUAGGAAUAUUCUCCCAGGUUGUGACAGAGCCCGGAAAAAAGCCAUUUGCGAUGACCUCACUGUACCCCAGACAUCUACCAGAAUCCCUGGCCUUUUUCUGGCCCUUGGUGAUCCCUGAUGGGGAAUUGUCAGUGGGGGAAAGGUGAUUUGUUUCAUUUAAUCCGCCAAAUGCAAAUGACCAACAUUUUGGGUCUUAGCCAAUUUUGAGGUUUUGGAUUCAGAAUAUGUUCUGUUGGGGCUCAGGACACACCAUCCCAAAAUAUGACACCACCUCAAAAAACCUUCCACCCCAAUAAAUUGCAGAUAUUUUCAAAAAAUAA
Molecule: long non-coding RNA, 4229 nt
Organism: Symphalangus syndactylus (siamang)
Lineage: Eukaryota; Metazoa; Chordata; Mammalia; Primates; Hylobatidae
Source: RefSeq, a predicted model, not a curated record